AAGAAGAUGAUGAUCAAGAUGAUGAUAAAGAUGAUGCAUCAGAUGAUGAUAAAGCCAAUGAGGAUGAUGUAAUGUCUGACAAACCUAACGAAGAGAUAGUCACACAACCUGAAGCAGAAGUUAUCCCCCCAACACCAUUGAAAAGGAGUAAAAGGAAAGUCGCUGAUGGUCCGACCAAGAGAAGUCCCUAUGUCGAUCCAAUAUCAAGUGCCCCCUGCAAAAAGAACUCGAUCCCAUGCAUACCGAGGCAGAGGAAAAAGUAGGGGUAGAAGAAAAGGUAGAGUCACCAUCAGUACAAGCCAAAAGGAUGUUGAAGUUGCUGAGGUCGCUGAGGAUUCAACCGAGAAAGAGGUUGUUGGAGAAAAGGAGUAUGUGUGGAAUCCUGAGCGCAUUCACAGUAGUGGUAAGUUCCUUAUCCGGAAUCAAUCUUUUGUUGAAUGCGAUGGACCAAGGGCUUCAGCUCUUUGGGAAUUUAUGAAGAAGCCAUAAGAAAAAAGGUUGUGGAAGUCAGGGUUGAAUGUUGAGCGGGAACCAAGUUUUUGGGAGACGCUUUUGGAAGUCGAACUAUGACUCACAGAUAUUCACAUGGAUGAGGCGAUGUACCAACUCCGAACCCGCGUUAUGAAGAAUCCCGUGACCUUCAUUGGAUGCAAUUACUUGGUGUGUGACACCAUGUUUGUAGAGUUAAUCAAUACAUGGGCCGAAUCGGGAGAUAUGACAAAUUUGGGCGAUCUACAACCAUACUUCAACGAAAGGCUUCCUAUUGGCUGUACAGGGACGCCGUUGAUCAGCUACGAGGGAUUCGUGAGUGUGCCUAAUGUUCUCUGAUUUGGCAAUGAUGAAAUCAGUUGCAAUUGGAUUGCCAUUAAAGUGGAUUUCAGUGAGAAAACUCUGCAAAUCUACGAUUGCCAAGCCAGACUGCAUGAAAAGGCGAAAGAGGCAGUUCAAAAACUCUGUCAUGUCAUUCCGAAGUUGUGUUGCCUCACUGGGUCGGAAGCUUUCGCUGAUGGAGAUGUAUUGGACAUUGAGUAUGUGCAGGGCGUACCCCAAAAGAAUGGGGAAGAAUGCAGGGUUUUCGCAGUGAAGUACAUCGAAGCCAUUUGCCUUGCCAAAGAGCGGAUGCUAUUACCGUUGAUAUGCAAUGACAAUGUCACGCUGAUCCGUGAACAACUAGCAGCAGCAAUAUUCGCUAAUGGCAAGCCUCAGAGGUUUAGGAAGAAGAGAGAGUGAACGAUCCCUAAACCCUUUUUACGUUUAUGUUAUUUUGAACCCUUUUUAAGACUACUUUUGUUUGU
Molecule: RNA transcript, 1295 nt
Organism: Tarenaya hassleriana
Lineage: Eukaryota; Viridiplantae; Streptophyta; Magnoliopsida; Brassicales; Cleomaceae
Exons: 2
Source: RefSeq, a predicted model, not a curated record